RNAcentral lists this ribosomal RNA (402 nucleotides) under uncultured bacterium. RNAcentral's name for it is "bacterial SSU rRNA". It matches the Rfam family "Bacterial small subunit ribosomal RNA", at positions 356 to 773 of the family's 1533-position model. The record is from RNAcentral.
GGGGAAUAUUGGGCAAUGGGGGAAACCCUGACCCAGCAACGCCGCGUGAGGGAAGAAGGUUUUCGGAUUGUAAACCUCUGUCCUUGGUGAAGAGCAGAAGACGGUAGCCAAGGAGGAAGCCCCGGCUAACUACGUGCCAGCAGCCGCGGUAAUACGUAGGGGGCGAGCGUUGUCCGGAAUGAUUGGGCGUAAAGGGCGCGUAGGCGGCCAUGCAAGUCUGGAGUGAAAGUCCUCAUUUUAAGUGAGGAAUUGCUUUGGAAACUGCGUGGCUUGAGUGCAGGAGAGGUUAUCGGAAUUCCCGGUGUAGCGGUGAAAUGCGUAGAGAUCGGGAGGAACACCAGUGGCGAAGGCGGGUAACUGGACUGCAACUGACGCUGAGGCGCGAAAGUGUGGGGAGCAAAC